GCAGGCGCGGUGCCUGUGCAGCCUGGUGUUGGCAGUGACGCCACCACGAUGAAGGCCAAGAACGUUAACUUGCUCUUCGCCUUCGUUGCCGUCCUGCUCUUUGGUUUCUCGUGUUUCUGCAUCUCCAGGAUGAACCAAACCAAUAAUCAACUAAUUAACUGCAGAAACCACGUUUUGGAGUUUAAGGAAAUUAUGCUCCGUUUAAAAAACAAAAGUGAAAAUCAUCACCAAGAUCUAAUGCAAGUCUUGUAUCAAAUGAAGCGUAAAGCUGCCCACACAACAAGAUCAUCAGGAAACUUCCUUGAGAAGAAGGGGAGCAUAUUGAGUCAGCAUGAAACACUUCCUAACCAAUUUGAAGUCUUAAAGUACUUCCUUCCUCAUCUAAGGACAGCAGGGAAACUUUACCCAGACAUAGCCACCAGCAAAGGGAGAGCAGGCGUUUCCUUUGCACUGGGAAUCUCCACCAUUAACAGAGGGAACCACACCUACCUGAAGCAAACGCUGACCUCUGUUCUCUCCAGAAUGACUCCCGAAGAAGAGGAGGACUCUGUGGUGAUCGUCUCUGUCGCUGAUACUGAUGAAAGUUACUUAAAAUCUGUUGUUCGCAUGGUUAAAACCAAAUUCAGAAAGCAAGUGCAGUCUGGCGUCUUGGAGGUCAUUUCAAUACCCACCCUUUUUUAUCCUCAAACAUUACUGGACAAGAAAAUGAAGACAGACUCAGAAAGUUGGCAAAUAAAACAAGUAUUGGACUUCUGUAUUCUGAUGCUGUAUGCCCAGCCCAAGGCCACGUAUUAUUUACAGCUAGAAGAUGAUAUCGUAGCAAAAAAGAUGUAUUUUACAAAAAUGAAAGAUUUUGUAAAUAGUCUCACUUCAAAAAAUUGGUUUUUUAUUGAGUUUUCAGUCCUUGGAUUUAUAGGAAAACUUUUUCGAUCGAAGGACCUCACUGACUUUGUGCAUUUUUUCCUGAUGUUCUAUGAAACAAAGCCCAUAGAUAUACUUUUAGAUGACAUUUUCCUGAUUCGGGUGUGCACCUCGGGGGAGCCUGUUAGGAGAUGUUUGCAGCGAAAGAAGGGAUUUCGAAUUCAGUACAGACCAUCUCUGUUCCAACAUGUGGGCACUCAGUCAUCAUUUCCAGGACGAGAACAGCACCUCAAGGAUAAUUAUUACUAGGAUUUCUUAAAUUUUAUAACUUCUUUUAAAAUUACCAGACUCAUUUUUGGGAAAAAGGCACAGCAAAUAUCAAAUUUUCUUGAAUAAUACUAAAGAAGAGACUACAUUAUUUAUUUUUUAAAUUUAAGCCUUCAAUAAUAAAGAAUACUGAAGAUAAGAAACAUACAAGAAGAAACUUUGUCAUGCCUGAUCUUCUGAUAUGUCAGUUUCUAAUGGUAUCUUUCAGAAAUUGGAAGAGUGGAAAUAGAUUAACUAGAGAAAAAAAAAAAGCAAUGAACAUUUGAAUACAUCAAAUAACUUCUCAUGGCAAGGCAAAAGUAGAGAUUUUUGUCAGUGAUAUUUUUAGAUUAAAGUGUUAAAGUUUAAAACAGCAAAAUUAGAGAAGUUCUAACAUUUAAGAACCAUAUCUUAUCGACUUAGCAAGGCCAUCCCACAGAAAGCACUAAAGCUCAGAAGCAUUCUAGUAUCCUGAGCGGGCUGUAUGGUAACUGGUCUGUGUGUUAUAAUUCCUUUUGAAAAGACAUCCAAAGAAAUAGGAAGCAGAGACUCUAUUCAGCCCAGGGCUGGUUGUAUCGCCCAUCUUUUUGUCUUUUAACGAACACGUUUCAGCUCUAAAGCCACCACUGAGCUCUAUGUGAAUCCAUCAUCAGACACUGUGGUGAGGGACAUAUUUUUGAUAGUCAUUCAUUUUUAAACACAUCACAGAUGGACCUAUGGAUUGUUUUGCAGUGUUUAUUUUGGGAACACAUUGUCUUUCUGUGUUCUUCUGACUGAUUUCCGACUGCAUUGCUGUUGAGAUGAGUUACCUAUGUAAUAGUAUCAGGGGAUGCCUGUAAAUUCAUGUGGAAUGCAUGAACCCUGGGCACACUUUUUCAAUGGUUGAAUUUGCUUGUUUUUAUGGAUGUUGUCUUUGUAAAUUAAAAACGCCUCUUUAAAAGGGCUGGAGAGAUGGCUCAUCAGUUAGGAGCAUUGGUGUUCUUCCAGAGGAUGGCCAGGGUUCAAUUCCUAACACCUAUUUGGCAGCUCAUAAUGGUAACUCGAGUCCCAGGGGAUCGACACCCUCACACAGACGUACAUGCAAGCAGAACACCAAUAAGCACAUGAGUUUUAAAUGCCUUUUAAAGUGUUUGUACUUGUUUGCUGCAAAGUGCUCUGUGUUGAAGUCUUUUUAGUUCUCAGUGACUAAGCCAUCAGUUUCUUA
Non-coding RNA from Mus caroli (Ryukyu mouse), 2371 nucleotides. NCBI's taxonomy places the organism in Eukaryota, Metazoa, Chordata, Mammalia, Rodentia, Muridae. The record is from RefSeq and is a predicted model, not a curated record.